GGAAUAAAAGCACCAGAAAAGAAGGUGAAACAUUCAGAUAAUUUAGUUGUUUCCUCUCUUCAUUCCAGGGCCUCUAUGUCAAUACAACAAUUAUGCCUCAAUCAUAAGCUAGUAGAGUCGGAUGUAUGAAAUUUGUUCGGACCUCUUUCGACAUCUACAUGCUUACAAAAUUUCAAGUAUUUUACAGCUAUUGCUGAUAUAGAUGUAUUGAUGUUAUCAA
This 220-nucleotide unclassified non-coding RNA is filed under the name Hevea brasiliensis (rubber tree). The record is from RNAcentral. Lineage: Eukaryota; Viridiplantae; Streptophyta; Magnoliopsida; Malpighiales; Euphorbiaceae.